GUGGGCUACGGGGACAUGUGUCCCGUCACCAUCGGUGGCAAAAUCGUGGGCUCGCUGUGCGCCAUCGCCGGCGUGCUCACCAUCGCCUUGCCCGUCCCCGUGAUCGUGUCCAAC
Molecule: regulatory RNA element, 114 nt
Organism: Scleropages formosus (Asian bonytongue)
Lineage: Eukaryota; Metazoa; Chordata; Actinopteri; Osteoglossiformes; Osteoglossidae
Rfam family: Potassium channel RNA editing signal
About the family: This family represents a group of sequences related to the human potassium channel Kv1.1 hairpin element which directs the efficient modification of an adenosine to inosine by an adenosine deaminase acting on RNA (ADAR). The ADAR modification causes an isoleucine/valine recoding event which lies in the ion-conducting pore of the potassium channel. It is thought that this editing event targets the process of fast inactivation and allows a more rapid recovery from inactivation at negative potentials.
Source: Rfam